GACGAACGCUGGCGGCGUGCUUAACACAUGCAAGUCGAACGGAAAGGCCCUGCUUUUGUGGGUUGCUCGAUUGGCGAGCGGGUGAGUAACACGUGAGUAACCUGCCCUUGACUUUGGGAUAACUUCACGGAACUGCGGCUAAUACCGGGUAGAAUCUCCUGCUGCAUGGUGUGGGUUGGAAAGUUUCGGCGGUUGUGGAUGGUCUCGCUGCUUAUCAGCUUGUUUGUGUGGUAGUGGCUUACCAAGGCUGUGACGGAUAGCCGGCCUGAGAGGGUUGACGGCGACAAGGGGACUGAGAGACGGCGCAGAAUCGUAUGGGACGCAGUAGGGGGGAACAUGGCAGAACGGGGGGAAGUGUGAGGUGGAAAUGCUGCGAGCGGGAUGAUGGGUUUCGGGUUGUAAACAGAUUUCGCAGGAGACGAAGAGGGAUUGACGGUAAUGGGUAAGGAAGCAACGGCUAACUACGUG
This 468-nucleotide ribosomal RNA is filed under the name uncultured bacterium. RNAcentral describes it as "partial 16S ribosomal RNA". It matches the Rfam family "Bacterial small subunit ribosomal RNA", at positions 28 to 507 of the family's 1533-position model. The record is from RNAcentral.